Molecule: unclassified non-coding RNA, 338 nt
Filed under: soil metagenome
Description: partial contains 5.8S ribosomal RNA, internal transcribed spacer 2, and large subunit ribosomal RNA
Rfam family: 5.8S ribosomal RNA (bases 1-120)
Source: RNAcentral
GAUGAAGAACGCAGCGAAAUGCGAUAAGUAGUGUGAAUUGCAGAAUUCAGUGAAUCAUCGAAUCUUUGAACGCACAUUGCGCCCCUUGGUAUUCCAUGGGGCAUGCCUGUUCGAGCGUCAUUUACACCCUCAAGCUCUGCUUGGUGUUGGGCGUCUGUCCCGCUGCUUUGCGCGGACUCGCCUCAAAGGUAUUGGCAGCGAUCAUGCCAGCUUCUCGCGCAGCACAUUGCGCUUCUUGAAGUUCUGGUGGAUCAGCGUCCAUUAAGCUUACCUUCAUGACUUGACCUCGGAUCAGGUAGGGAUACCCGCUGAACUUAAGCAUAUCAAUAAGCGGAGGA